Molecule: non-coding RNA, 251 nt
Organism: Pelobates cultripes (western spadefoot toad)
Lineage: Eukaryota; Metazoa; Chordata; Amphibia; Anura; Pelobatidae
Source: the annotation of a GenBank genome assembly
AGAGAAACGUAUCUUCCCUAUUUAGCUGUCCAAGAAGGUCUGUGGUUUAGGACCUCUAGCCCACUAUUGGUCCUACACCCCCCACACAGGCCAAGAAUUGGAAGAAGAAGAAGAGAGAAUCAGGGUGCAAUAUGGAGACACAUAUUACUUUACUGAAAGUACAUAACAUUUGGAUAACCAUAGCUCCUCUUCAGCAAGCCAAGUGCUUCUAGGGCAUGUCAACAAAUUGGGGGAAAUUUACUAAACUGUUG